This 253-nucleotide ribosomal RNA is filed under the name uncultured bacterium. RNAcentral's name for it is "partial 16S ribosomal RNA". It matches the Rfam family "Bacterial small subunit ribosomal RNA", at positions 524 to 776 of the family's 1533-position model. The record is from RNAcentral.
AACGUAGGACGCAAGCGUUAUCCGGAGUUACUGGGCGUAAAGCGCGAGCAGGCGGCUCGACAAGUUCGCUGUGAAAGCUCCCGGCUCAACCGGGCGAGGCCAGUGGAAACUAUCGAGCUGGAGGGCAGUAGAGGCAGGCGGAAUUCCGGGUGGAGUGGUGAAAUGCGUAGAGAUCCGGAGGAACACCAGAGGCGAAGGCGGCCUGCUGGGCUGCACCUGACGCUGAGCCGCGAAAGCUAGGGGAGCGAACAGG